Molecule: long non-coding RNA, 1315 nt
Organism: Ostrea edulis (European flat oyster)
Lineage: Eukaryota; Metazoa; Mollusca; Bivalvia; Ostreida; Ostreidae
Exons: 3
Source: RefSeq, a predicted model, not a curated record
AAGGUCAAAAGGACAAAUAUCUUGGUACCAGUAGAAAGAUCUUGUCACAAGAAAUGCUCAUGUACAAUAUGAAAGCUCUAAUAUUUACCAUUUAGAAGUUAUGACCUACAUGUAAAAAAAAAAUGAAAAGUAGGUCAAAUGUCAAGGUCAAAAGGUUUAGUACCAACGGAAAGGUCUCGUCACAAAAAAUACUCAUGUGAAAUACCAAAGCUUUAUCACUUACUGUUAAUAGGUUAUAAGCAAGGUUAAAAUUUUCAAAAAGUAGAUUAAACGUCAAGGUCACUGGGUCAAUAAUGUUGGUAGCCACAGAAAGGUCUUGUCACAAGGAAUACUCAUGUGAAAUAUCAAAGCUCUAUCUCUUACUGUUCAAAAGUUAUUAGCAAGGUUAAAGUUUUCAAAAAGUAGGUCAAACUCCAAGGUCACAGGGUCAAUAAUGUUGGUACCCACGGAAAGGUCUUAAUUGUCACAAGGAAUACUCAUGUGAAAUAUCAAAGCUCUAUCUGUUACUGUUCAAAAGUUAUUAGCAAGGUUAAAGUUUUCAAAAUGUAGAUUAAACUCCAAGGUCACUGGGUCAAUAAUGUUGGUACCCACGGAAAGGUCUUGUCACAAGGAAUAGGGUCGGAAAGUCUCGUCAUGAGACUCGCGAGAAAUAACGUGAAAUCGUACUUCCGGGCAGUUGUCAGGAUGGCAUUAUCAAUAAUGUACUAGACUCGCUACGUUCAAAACCACAUAGAGCUUUCUACAAAAAGCGAGAGAGCGGUGGAUAACAACUGGGUUUGGAAAUUUGUUCUAGAUAGAGCUCUGAGUUAUUACAGCAGUUGUUCAAGCGUCAAUACGAGACAUUUUCCAACAAAGUACAGAUAUAAAAGGGCAAACAAUACAGCUGGAUAAAGCAUCCUAAGUCUGCACCUCGUAAAGCUAUGACAAUGAGAGAAAUGUAUCCACCCAGGCAAUCAGAAUAUAGAGUGCAACCCGGAAGGUGCGCAGCAGCUCAAAGAGAGCCAUGGUUAUUGGCAUCAAGUUCUCCAUCAGCUUUACCUCACAGGCACCACUUGUGAUUUCAAUGUUUGAACACCAAUGAACAUGGAAGUGAUUCUCAUCCUUCGAGAUGAAUUAUGGGAACUGUACUUGGCAUACAUGAUUGAGCCUUUGUGCCCUCUCUGCAAUAACCAACUAGACAAACUUGUGAAAAUUCAAAUGUCUUCCAUUAGUUUUAUUUUGUUUUUGCUACAAUUGAUCAGUGUAAAGAUGUGCAUGAAUCAUCAUUGUAACAAUUUCUUUGACUAUUAACCUUAAAUAAAUGUUCACUUUAUCA